CUCCCAUCCUGCCUUGAAAUUGUCUCUCCAGCUAACGCAGUGCUGCUGCAUGACUCACCUAAGUCUGCUCCUGCGAUCUUCAGUCUGUCUGGCUGCCAGCAAAUGGGUGAUGGGAAGAAGAAGGCUCAAAGGGAAAGACUCCAGUUCCUUCUAAAAAUUCUGGAGAAAUUCUGCUUUCCUCCCCAUUGCAACUGAUGAACAUCCACCAACAACCAAGCAAAGUUUUAUUCUUUAAUGUCAGAAGAGUCAUGGCAGUUUUUCCACUAAACACAUCCUUUGAAUAUGAAGUUAAAAUCAGAGUUGGUUAGCUUUUGUUAGCGGAAAGAUCUGAAGCAAGAGGAAACAUGGUGGCCUGGCUCUUUGCAAGAAUAACACAACCCACCUACCAGCACCCCUACAGCUCUCUAAUUAACACAUUGUGGUUUUACAGAGAGGAUCAGCCACAACAUUAAACCUACUGAAAGGUGACGUGUGUAAUCAUUAGGUCACAAUGCAAUGCCCUCCUGGGAAACUGAGUCCUUGCAUUCUUGGGAUGUUACUUUGAAACCCAUCUGAAGACCAAGAAUACCCCAACAUGGCAACAAUAUUCUCCUCACUACACCUAAAAAACUGCUCAGGAGCAACUCAGGGAACAUGGCAAAGAGCCUAAGGCCUUUAUCCAACCUCCUAAAGCCCGAGAUCCCAAUCUGAUGGACGUGUCAGAACGAGCCCAACCCAUGGAAGCCCCACCAAGCAACCCAAACAACCCAGAGGAUCUGCCUAAGUCCCACUGCCAGACACCACUGGACACCCCAAGAGGUCCUGUGUACAUAAUCAAUGAUUAAAAGCUGUUUUAAGCAGUCGAAAUGGGACCUACACAAUACUAAGCAGGGGGUUUUAAUGUUGUGGCUGAUGGAAAUAGCUUAGCUUAGCAUUUAUCCCACGUACCAGCACCAGUCUCUGUUCAAUAAAGCGUAUUUCUCAAACGUCAGACUGUUCCCUCAACUCUCUAUUGUGCUGUGCUGUCCACCGUCCACUCAUUGUAAAGCUGUGUAAGCUGUUGUUUUGUUUGGAGCAGCUGAUCGCAGGCGAAGACAAGGAGGGGAAUCCUGCUAUCUCUUCCCUCCUGUCAACAAGGUGCUGCCUGCAAAUCAGCCUGUGAGUAAAUGCUUUAAACAGGGAGAGAUAAAGCCUCGGCCUCCCACGUGUGCAGCCUCAGAUGCCAGAUUCAAGAGCGUAUUAGCUGUUUGUUUCAGGGGGCAGAAUGAUUAGAGAAGAGGGCGGAUUAUUAAUGGUUGGAGAUGCAUCCUGUCAGGAGCUAGCCAUCUCCAUGAAUGUGUGGGACUGAUGCUGCAGCACAAGGAGGC
Amphiprion ocellaris (clown anemonefish) is the source of this 1346-nucleotide long non-coding RNA. Lineage: Eukaryota; Metazoa; Chordata; Actinopteri; Pomacentridae. The record is from Ensembl.